Molecule: ribosomal RNA, 116 nt
Filed under: uncultured bacterium
Lineage: Bacteria
Description: partial 16S ribosomal RNA
Rfam family: Bacterial small subunit ribosomal RNA
Source: RNAcentral
UACGUUCCCGGGUCUUGUACAUACCGCCCGUCACACCAUGGGAGCGGGUUUUACCAGAAGUAGGUAGCUUAACCGCAAGGGGGGCGCUUACCACGGUAGGAUUCGUGACUGGGGUG